Long non-coding RNA from Acanthochromis polyacanthus (spiny chromis), 962 nucleotides. RefSeq lists it as uncharacterized. NCBI's taxonomy places the organism in Eukaryota, Metazoa, Chordata, Actinopteri, Pomacentridae. The transcript is spliced from 2 exons. The record is from RefSeq and is a predicted model, not a curated record.
CUUGCCCGCUGGCUACAGGUUCAUCUCAGGAUAUCACGCCACCUUCAUUUUUAGCUCUUCUUCUCUCUUUUACCACUUUAUGGCAGGGAUAUUCGAGAUUUUUGUCUGUGAGGUGCAAGCAAAUAAAGCAGAUGCCUGUAUUUUUGUUGCAAAGAGGAAGAUUAUAAUGUAGGCUUUAAAAGUGGUAAAUGAGAGUCGUGAAACUCAAAUCAGAUUUCACAUCAUUUGAGGAAGAGAAAAGUUUUUUCCUCUUUCCUAUAAUAAAGCUUCCAUCCCUUUGCCAUAAAUCCAAGACGCACAGGUUGCCAAUGCGAGGGAAACUCUUUGACAAACAAUCCGUGCGCUCUAUAAAGUGAAUUUAUAUGGCUUUACCCUUCCUUUUCUCAUUGGAUAGAUGGAGCAGUUGUGGCAGAGACCGUGGCACACAGCAGCAGCAGCAGCAGCAGGCAGCAGCUGAGCGGAGAGAGAGGAGCGCGCACGAAAAAACGCUCUUGGAAAGACCAGAGUCAUUCCCAGUACUCUUCGCCGGGCCAGUCAGGACCGCAGACACGUAUGAGCCGAAUGUUGUAUGACAAAAAGGAUGACCCAAAAAGAAAAGCAUAAGGACUGAUUAAAAAAAGAGGGGAAAAAAAAACACCUGAGGACCGUCGCAGCAGAGAGAGCGUGACUGAUUCCCCAUGGAGGAGAACGCAGAGAGGAUUACGCUUAGUGGGAAUGGCCAGGGGCACCUGUGGCUCAUUGGCAAUCAGGGGAAGAUGAAAAGCUCAGCCACCCGAAUCAGCAUCGCCUUUUGGCCAGACCGGCAGCUGGAGUGUGUUGGUGACUUGGUGUGGAACCUGGACUCGGCUGUUGUGCCGCAACUCAUUGUUGGAACAUUCUAUUGUGGUUAGGGAACUUGAUUCCCUUGUGUGGAUCUCGUUUUUAACUCCCAUUGUAAAUAAAGGUAUUUCUCUGCCGCAUGA